UGGGCAAAAUUCGAGUCAAUUCAAAACAGA
RNAcentral lists this non-coding RNA (30 nucleotides) under Rattus norvegicus (Norway rat). The record is from RNAcentral. Lineage: Eukaryota; Metazoa; Chordata; Mammalia; Rodentia; Muridae.